This 334-nucleotide ribosomal RNA is filed under the name uncultured bacterium. RNAcentral describes it as "bacterial SSU rRNA". It matches the Rfam family "Bacterial small subunit ribosomal RNA", at positions 8 to 334 of the family's 1533-position model. The record is from RNAcentral.
AGGGUUUGAUUCUGGCUCAGGACGAACGCUGGCGGCGUGCCUAAUACAUGCAAGUAGAACGCUGAAGGAGGAGCUUGCUUCUCUGGAUGAGUUGCGAACGGGUGAGUAACGCGUAGGUAACCUGCCUGGUAGCGGGGGAUAACUAUUGGAAACGAUAGCUAAUACCGCAUAAUAGUAGAUGUUGCAUGACAUUUGCUUAAAAGGUGCAAUUGCAUCACUACCAGAUGGACCUGCGUUGUAUUAGCUAGUUGGUGAGGUAACGGCUCACCAAGGCGACGAUACAUAGCCGACCUGAGAGGGUGAUCGGCCACACUGGGACUGAGACACGGCCCAG